GAUGAACGCUGACAGAAUGCUUAACACAUGCAAGUCGAUUCAAUUUACCUUCGGGUAUUGAGGAUGGCGGACGGGUGAGUAACGCGUAAGGAACUUGCCUCUUGGUCUGGGACAACUGUUGGAAACGACAGCUAAUACCGGAUAUUAUGAGAUUCUCGCAUGGGAAACUUAUGAAAGCUAUAUGCGCCAAGAGAGAGCCUUGCGUUCCAUUAGCUAGUUGGUGGGGUAACGGCCCACCAAGGCGACGAUGGAUAGCCGGCCUGAGAGGGUGAACGGCCACAAGGGGACUGAGACACGGCCCUUACUCCUACGGGAGGCAGCAGUGGGGAAUAUUGGACAAUGGGCCACAAGCCUGAUCCAGCAAUUCUGUGUGCACGAUGAAGGUCUUCGGAUUGUAAAGUGCUUUCAGUUGGGAAGAAGAAAGUGACGGUACCAACAGAAGAAGCGACGGCUAAAUACGUGCCAGCAGCCGCGGUAAUACGUAUGUCGCAAGCGUUAUCCGGAUUUAUUGGGCGUAAAGCGCGUCUAGGCGGAAAAAUAAGUCUGAUGUUAAAAUGCGGGGCUCAACUCCGUAUUGNGUUGGAAACUGUUUUUCUAGAGUACUGNAGAGGUGGGCGGAACUACAAGUGUAGAGGUGAAAUUCGUAGAUAUUUGUAGGAAUGCCNAUGGAGAA
RNAcentral lists this ribosomal RNA (673 nucleotides) under uncultured prokaryote. RNAcentral's name for it is "bacterial SSU rRNA". It matches the Rfam family "Bacterial small subunit ribosomal RNA", at positions 28 to 719 of the family's 1533-position model. The record is from RNAcentral.